Molecule: long non-coding RNA, 805 nt
Filed under: Mustela putorius furo (domestic ferret)
Lineage: Eukaryota; Metazoa; Chordata; Mammalia; Carnivora; Mustelidae
Description: lncRNA (ENSMPUG00000026149.1)
Source: RNAcentral
UUCAGGUGCGAGCUCCCGGGAAUUCUCUCCUCCUGCCGAGAUUGGCUUCAGGACAAGGGCAUGUGUCCAUUCUUCUGCCUCUCCUUCCCUGGGGAAGGUCGCUUGAGCAUCACGGAAUACCACUCCAGUCUGGGUCAAGGAGGUUUGCGCGGGCUGCUCAGGCCUCCUCGGCUCCGGGGUGCCUCACAUCAUGGAACGGAGUCGGCCAAUGCCGUGGUGGGCUUCAGCCAUAUUGAAUCCUACAUAACCUUGGAGGCUGAGACGCUCGACAACCAUAAAAUAAUCAGCACGGCCAAUAUCAGAAGAUUAACAGAGUUCUGUGCCUCUUGGAGUCCUGCAAACAUACAUGUAUGAACUAUGGAGAGACACUUUUCUCACGGAACCCGGAAUUCUCCUAGGUGUUCUACAGUUUGAAAAUAGCCCAAUCAUGAUGUUGUCACAAGGCUUAUUUUUAAGUAAUGAUUUUAAUUAAACCCUCUAAAAAGGAAGCAAUUCUGUACCUCUUAUAUGGUCUGUACAAUGAUGAUUACACAAGUGCAGUUUUCCAUUUUCCUCUGGUGUCAUGGGGGCAAGGAUAACGAUUUCCAUCUCAUCACAGGACGGAGAGCCUAUACUUCACUCUGCACAAGACUCCAGUGAAAUCAGAGGGAGGAUUUUGCACAAUAAAAUUACAGUAAAAUAACUGAAGAAAAAACAGCUUCCCCAGGAGGGGUUCAUAGCUGAGAGCGUCAUGCAGGAUACCAGUGAAGAUUUUUACAUGGCGACAAAUCAAGAUUUUUUUCCCCAGCUCACUGGGGCAGGCUGG